UACGUAGGGGGCGAGCGUUAUCCGGAUUUACUGGGUGUAAAGGGAGCGCAGGCGGCCGGCCAAGCUGGAUGUGAAAUCCCGGGGCCCAACCCCGGGACUGCAUUUGGAACUGGCUGGCUGGAGUGCGGGAGAGGCAGGCGGAAUUCCUAGUGUAGCGGUGAAAUGCGUAGAUAUUAGGAGGAACACCAGUGGCGAAGGCGGCCUGCUGGACCGUUACUGACGCUGAGGCUCGAAAGCGUGGGGAGCAAAC
RNAcentral lists this ribosomal RNA (250 nucleotides) under uncultured prokaryote. RNAcentral describes it as "partial 16S ribosomal RNA". It matches the Rfam family "Bacterial small subunit ribosomal RNA", at positions 524 to 773 of the family's 1533-position model. The record is from RNAcentral.